This 328-nucleotide unclassified non-coding RNA is filed under the name soil metagenome. RNAcentral's name for it is "partial contains 5.8S ribosomal RNA, internal transcribed spacer 2, and large subunit ribosomal RNA". The stretch from base 1 to 120 matches the Rfam family "5.8S ribosomal RNA", at positions 35 to 154 of the family's 154-position model. The record is from RNAcentral.
GAUGAAGAACGUAGCGAAAUGCGAUAAGUAAUGUGAAUUGCAGAAUUCAGUGAAUCAUCGAAUCUUUGAACGCACAUUGCGCCCCCUGGCAUUCCGGGGGGCAUGCCUGUCCGAGCGUCAUUACAACCCUCAAGCUCAGCUUGGUGUUGGGCCCCGCCGCCCCGGCGGGCCCUAAAGUCAGUGGCGGUGCCGUCCGGCUCCGAGCGUAGUAAUUCUUCUCGCUCUGGAGGUCCGGUCGCGUGCUCGCCAGCAACCCCCAAUUUUUUUCAGGUUGACCUCGGAUCAGGUAGGGAUACCCGCUGAACUUAAGCAUAUCAAUAAGCGAGGA